This 1524-nucleotide long non-coding RNA is filed under the name Callithrix jacchus (white-tufted-ear marmoset). RNAcentral's name for it is "lncRNA (ENSCJAG00000082225.1)". The record is from RNAcentral. Lineage: Eukaryota; Metazoa; Chordata; Mammalia; Primates; Cebidae.
AUGCAAGAAGUGCCUUUCACCUCCUGCCAUGAUUCUGAGGCCUUUCCAGUGACAGGAAGUAUUAUUUCUGCUGCUUUGUGCAUCUGUGUAUGGCUGCUCAGGUUGUGCACCACAAAACUCCACAAAGGUCAUUUGCAUAAUGGUACAUUGCAAUGAGGCAGAAGGGUAAGUCACCACUCGAUAAAGUAUAAAGCUUGUGUUCUGCUUAAAUGAAUACUAAAUGUUAUUCAAGAUUCCUGGAAUUAUGCCAGUUGCUUUCUGAUUUAUAGUGAGUCAAUGGUAGGAUAAAUAAUAAAGAAGAAUGAGAUCAAAUGCAUACACAUACAUAAGCUUUAACAUUAAUUUAGAGAGUUUCAAUAACAUGCAGUAAGAUAUGAUUGGAGUAUUAAUUCAGCUUUUGCAAUAAAAUAUCUUCUAGUUAUGUGGGAGCAUGCAUAAAAAUACUUUCAGAAAAAUUUGUAAUACUUCUACUUAUCUUGUUCGUUUAUGCAGUACAAUUCAUUCACAAAUAUAUUUUUUAGAUUUUAUCAUCUCAAAUUUGUCUUUAAUCAUUUAAUAUACAUUUAUUUUAUUCCAGCUUAUUAGGCAUGAGAUAUAUUUGAAUUUCUAGUAUGAUUCAGCUUGUCUAGAAAUGUAUGAAUAUAUACGAUAAAAAUGUAUGGUAUGAUAUACAGGAGAGAUAGGUUAUGAUUGCAAGCUAUGUCACAACUAAUUUUACCCGUGAAUAUUUCACCUUAAUUCAAAUGAAAUAUAAAAAAAUGAAGACAAAUUUGGAAUCAUAUGAUUAAAAAUAAUGGCUCAAUUCUUGUCAUUAUUUGCCUUAAAUAAGAUGAUUUUAUAAUCUUAAUUUCUUCUUAAACAGUAAAAACUCGAAAUAACAGGGUAUACAAUCUUCAAAAAGAGGGCAGCAAAGUCAAAGUGGAACCCCUCUGUUUUUCCCUCCUCUGGAGAGUGAGCCAGCAAUGUCACUUUCCUUGAGGCCUCUUCCUAGGUGAAGAAAUUCUUUUUUUUUUUUUUUUGAGACGGGAGUUCGCUCUUGCUACCCAGGCUGGAGUGCGAUGGCGCUAUCUUGGCUCACCGCAACAUCCGCCUCCUGGGUUCAGGCAAUUCUUCUGCCUCAGCCUCCCGAGUAGCUGGGAUUACAGGCACGCGCCACCAUGCCCAGCUAAUUUUUUUAUGUUUUUAGUAGAGACGAGGUUUCACCAUGUUGACCAGGAUGGUCUCGAUCUCUUAACCUCGUGAUCCACCGACGUCGGCCUCCCAAAGUGCUGGGAUUACAGGCGUGAGCCACCCGUCCGGCCAGAAGAAAUUCUUUUAAAAAAUGAUGGAUGCAGCAAACCACCCUGGCAUGUAUAUACGUAUGUAACAAUCCUGCACGAUCUGAACAUGUACCCCAGAACUCAAAGUAUUUUAAAAAAUUGCCUUAAAACUUGAAGCUGUUCAAUCAUAAUAUAAAUGUCUUAAUACAUUUCUGUUAUGGGUUAGCAUUGUUUUACUUCACUUACCACGUUAUAUAUGUACAUA